UGGGGAAUUUUGGACAAUGGGGGAAACCCUGAUCCAGCCAUCCCGCGUGUGCGAUGAAGGCCUUCGGGUUGUAAAGCACUUUUGGCAGGAAAGAAACGUCGCGGGUUAAUACCCCGCGAAACUGACGGUACCUGCAGAAUAAGCACCGGCUAACUACGUGCCAGCAGCCGCGGUAAUACGUAGGGUGCAAGCGUUAAUCGGAAUUACUGGGCGUAAAGCGUGCGCAGGCGGUUCGGAAAGAAAGAUGUGAAAUCCCAGAGCUUAACUUUGGAACUGCAUUUUUAACUACCGGGCUAGAGUGUGUCAGAGGGAGGUGGAAUUCCGCGUGUAGCAGUGAAAUGCGUAGAUAUGCGGAGGAACACCGAUGGCGAAGGCAGCCUCCUGGGAUAACACUGACGCUCAUGCACGAAAGCGUGGGGAGCAAACAGGAUUAGAUACCCUGGUAGUCCACGCCCUAAACGAUGUCAACUAGCUGUUGGGGGCCUUCGGGCCUUGGUAGCGCAGCUAACGCGUGAAGUUGACCGCCUGGGGGAGUACGGUC
This 541-nucleotide ribosomal RNA is filed under the name uncultured bacterium. RNAcentral's name for it is "partial 16S ribosomal RNA". It matches the Rfam family "Bacterial small subunit ribosomal RNA", at positions 355 to 887 of the family's 1533-position model. The record is from RNAcentral.